RNAcentral lists this long non-coding RNA (310 nucleotides) under Vulpes vulpes (red fox). Its description in RNAcentral is "lncRNA (ENSVVUG00000027385.1)". Lineage: Eukaryota; Metazoa; Chordata; Mammalia; Carnivora; Canidae. The record is from RNAcentral.
CAAAGACACAGCUUGACUCUGGGAUUUAGCAACACUCAUACAUGAAAUAUAUGCAGACUGAAUUGGAUGGAGUGAAGUAUGCUUCCAGAGCUCUAUGCCUUGAUCAGGUUGAAAAUAUGCUGGCACAGCCAGCAUCAGCUCCAGCCAAGUCAUGGAUGUGCAGAGGGGCCCAGCAGUAUGGAAUGCAAAGCAACUCCACAAAGUAAGUUCAAAGUGAUUUCAAAACUUCCCAGAAGUGGUGCCAUAAUUUCUGGGCAGUGGCUCAGGUAUGAAAGUUCUUAUUUCAAAUGAAUCUGUCCAGUAAUUCCUG